Molecule: ribosomal RNA, 253 nt
Filed under: uncultured bacterium
Lineage: Bacteria
Description: partial 16S ribosomal RNA
Rfam family: Bacterial small subunit ribosomal RNA
Source: RNAcentral
UACAGAGGUGGCAAGCGUUGUUCGGAAUUACUGGGCGUAAAGGGCGCGUAGGCGGCCUUCUAAGUCAGACGUGAAAUCCCCCGGCUUAACCUGGGAACUGCGUCUGAUACUGGGAGGCUUGAGUAUGGGAGGGGGAUGUAGAAUUCCAGGUGUAGCGGUGAAAUGCGUAGAUAUCUGGAGGAACACCAAUGGCGAAGGCAGCACUCUGGGACGUGACUGACGCUGAGACGCGAAAGCGUGGGGAGCAAACAGG